Molecule: long non-coding RNA, 491 nt
Filed under: Podarcis muralis (Common wall lizard)
Lineage: Eukaryota; Metazoa; Chordata; Lepidosauria; Squamata; Lacertidae
Description: lncRNA (ENSPMRG00000000518.1)
Source: RNAcentral
AUCUGCUUCAUCUCCCUGGGCAAUGCCAAGGAAGACCACAGCAAAGAAAAGACAGAUGAACUUCAUGGUUCUUCUAAGACUUGUUCUAUGUUGCUGAAAGGAGUCACAAGGAUGAACUGGCAAUGGACCAAGCAGAGAAGCAAGAGGCAGAGGCAUUGGAAGAUCUGAGUGGUCCUCAGGAUGAAAACCCAGCUGGUUACGAUGAAGCUUUGGAGGAUGAAGGAAACAUGAAACGGAGGAAUGGUACCAAUCUAUGUGAGAGUGCCGGUGGUAAAUGCUUUUUCGCCUUCUGCCCUCGUGGAUCUAUGCGCAUUGGAAAAUGCGGCCGAUUCCGUCGCUGCUGUAAAGAGCAAAAUCAAGCAAGAGGAGGAGGAGGAAGCAGUCAGUCAGGGCCAACAUCUGGACUGACUGCAAGGAAGGAGGUAGGGCAGGUGGCAUGAAGGCUGAUUGAAGUCCAACUGAGGCUUGUGAGGAAUGCCACAGAUGGCCCG